This 444-nucleotide ribosomal RNA is filed under the name uncultured bacterium. Its description in RNAcentral is "bacterial SSU rRNA". It matches the Rfam family "Bacterial small subunit ribosomal RNA", at positions 330 to 792 of the family's 1533-position model. The record is from RNAcentral.
UCCAGACUCCUACGGGAGGCAGCAGUGGGGAAUAUUGCACAAUGGGCGAAAGCCUGAUGCAGCGACGCCGCGUGAGUGAAGAAGUAUUUCGGUAUGUAAAGCUCUAUCAGCAGGGAAGAAAAUGACGGUACCUGACUAAGAAGCCCCGGCUAACUCCGUGCCAGCAGCCGCGGUAAUACGGAGGAUGCGAGCGUUAUCCGGAUUUAUUGGGUUUAAAGGGUGCGUAGGCGGAGUGUCAAGUCAGCGGUAAAAUUUCGGGGCUCAACCCCGUCGUGCCGUUGAAACUGACGCCCUUGAGUGAGUGAGAAGUAAGCGGAAUGCGUGGUGUAGCGGUGAAAUGCAUAGAUAUCACGCAGAACGCCGAUUGCGAAGGCAGCUUACCGGCGCUCAACUGACGCUGAGGCACGAAAGUGCGGGUAUCGAACAGGAUUAGAUACCCCGGUA